UGGGGAAUCUUGCGCAAUGGCCGAAAGGCUGACGCAGCGACGCCGCGUGGAGGAUGACGCCCUUCGGGGUGUAAACUCCUGUUGCCCGGGACGAAUACCCGUUUCGACGGGGGUGACGGUAUCGGGUGAGGAAGCACCGGCUAACUCUGUGCCAGCGGCCGCGGUAAUACAGAGGGUGCGAGCGUUGUCCGGAAUCACUGGGCGUAAAGGGCGCGUAGGCGGCUGGGUAAGCGUGUGGUGAAAGCCCGGGGCUCAACCCCGGGUCGGCCAUGCGAACUGUCCAGCUGGAGCACGGUAGAGGCACAUGGAAUUCCGGGUGUAGCGGUGGAAUGCGUAGAGAUCCGGAAGAACACCGAUGGCGAAGGCGGUGUGCUGGGCCGUGGCUGACGCUGAGGCGCGACAGCGUGGGGAGCAAACA
This 418-nucleotide ribosomal RNA is filed under the name uncultured bacterium. Its description in RNAcentral is "bacterial SSU rRNA". It matches the Rfam family "Bacterial small subunit ribosomal RNA", at positions 355 to 774 of the family's 1533-position model. The record is from RNAcentral.